GCAGAACGCGAAGAACCUUACCCCAGGCUUGACAUCCUUGGAAGGCUUCCGAAAGGAAACUGUGCCCUCGGGAACCAAGUGACAGGUGAUGCAUGGCCGUCGUCAGCUCGUGUCGUGAGAUGUUUGGUUAAGUCCAUCAACGAGCGCAACCCUUUUAGUUAGUUGUAUUUCUCUAGCUAGACUGCCCUGGUAACAGGGAGGAAGGAGGGGAUGAUGUCAGGUCAGUAUUUCCCUUACGUCUGGGGCUACAAACACGCUACAAUGGCCGGUACAAAGGGCAGCCAAGUCGCGAGACGGAGCAAAUCCCACCAAAGCCGGUCUCAGUUCGGAUAGCAGGCUGAAACUCGCCUGCUUGAAGCUGGAAUCGCUAGUAAC
RNAcentral lists this ribosomal RNA (375 nucleotides) under uncultured bacterium. RNAcentral's name for it is "bacterial SSU rRNA". It matches the Rfam family "Bacterial small subunit ribosomal RNA", at positions 954 to 1342 of the family's 1533-position model. The record is from RNAcentral.